RNAcentral lists this non-coding RNA (23 nucleotides) under Arabidopsis thaliana (thale cress). Lineage: Eukaryota; Viridiplantae; Streptophyta; Magnoliopsida; Brassicales; Brassicaceae. The record is from RNAcentral.
UAAAACUACAUCGCUUUCAUUCU